Non-coding RNA from Schizosaccharomyces pombe (fission yeast), 223 nucleotides. The record is from the annotation of a GenBank genome assembly. Lineage: Eukaryota; Fungi; Ascomycota; Schizosaccharomycetes; Schizosaccharomycetales; Schizosaccharomycetaceae.
UCUUAUCAAAGCCGUCAAGCUGUAAAAGUUUUCCCAAGCGUAGGUAACCUCUAGCAUUUCUUGCAUUCAAAUGAAUCAUCCGUUUAGCAUCAAGUUCUGCUUGUGAGUAUUGACCUGACUUUUCGUAAACUUGAGCCCUUAGUUCAAACAAGUCAAUCGUAGGAUUGGGCUCCUGUUCGAUGGUUUUAGUAAUGAAUGUCAAUGCAUCUUCAAACUUCCUUUU